UAAGAACCACUGCCGCCGACCGAGGCGCGCGC
This 32-nucleotide small RNA is filed under the name Bombyx mori (domestic silkworm). RNAcentral's name for it is "ovarian small RNA-19109". Lineage: Eukaryota; Metazoa; Arthropoda; Insecta; Lepidoptera; Bombycidae. The record is from RNAcentral.